AAAUUGAAGAGUUUGAUCAUGGCUCAGAUUGAACGCUGGCGGCAGGCCUAACACAUGCAAGUCGAACGGUAACAGGAAGCAGCUUGCUGCUUCGCUGACGAGUGGCGGACGGGUGAGUAAUGUCUGGGAAACUGCCUGAUGGAGGGGGAUAACUACUGGAAACGGUGGCUAAUACCGCAUAACGUCGCAAGACCAAAGAGGGGGACCUUCGGGCCUCUUGCCAUCAGAUGUGCCCAGAUGGGAUUAGCUGGUUGGUGAGGUAACGGCUCACCAAGGCGACGAUCCCUAGCUGGUCUGAGAGGAUGACCAGCCACACUGGAACUGAGACACGGUCCAGACUCCUACGGGAGGCAGCAGUGGGGAAUAUUGCACAAUGGGCGCAAGCCUGAUGCAGCCAUGCCGCGUGUAUGAAGAAGGCCUUCGGGUUGUAAAGUACUUUCAGCGGGGAGGAAGGUGUUGUGGUUAAUAACUGCAGCAAUUGACGUUACCCGCAGAAGAAGCACCGGCUAACUCCGU
RNAcentral lists this ribosomal RNA (516 nucleotides) under Salmonella enterica. RNAcentral describes it as "bacterial SSU rRNA". It matches the Rfam family "Bacterial small subunit ribosomal RNA", at positions 1 to 506 of the family's 1533-position model. The record is from RNAcentral. RNAcentral also lists the same sequence under 1 other name. Lineage: Bacteria; Pseudomonadati; Pseudomonadota; Gammaproteobacteria; Enterobacterales; Enterobacteriaceae.